This 324-nucleotide ribosomal RNA is filed under the name uncultured bacterium. RNAcentral describes it as "bacterial SSU rRNA". It matches the Rfam family "Bacterial small subunit ribosomal RNA", at positions 117 to 458 of the family's 1533-position model. The record is from RNAcentral.
GUGGGAAUCUGCCUUUUGGUUCGGAAUAACACGAGGAAACUUGUGCUAAUACCGGAUAAGCCUUUACAGGGAAAGUUUUAAUGCCAAAAGAUGAGCCCGCACUUGAUUAGCUAGUUGGUAAGGUAAUAGCUUACCAAGGCUACGAUCAAUAGCUGUUCUUAGAGGAAGACCAGCCACAUUGGGACUGAGACACGGCCCAAACUCCUACGGGAGGCAGCAGUGGGGAAUCUUGCACAAUGGGGGAAACCCUGAUGCAGCGAUGCCGCGUGAGUGAAGAAGGCCUUUGGGUUGUAAAACUCUUUCGUCGGGGAAGAAAAUGACUGU